CAGUCGCCACGGUAAUACAGAGGGUGCAAGCGUUAUUCGGAAUUACUGGGCGUAAAGCGCGCGUAGGUGGUUCGCCAAGUUGGAUGUGAAAUCCCCGGGCUCAACCUGGGAACUGCAUCCAAAACUGGCGAGCUAGAGUAUGGUAGAGGGUGGUGGAAUUUCCUGUGUAGCGGUGAAAUGCGUAGAUAUAGGAAGGAACAUCAGUGGCGAAGGCGACCACCUGGACUGAUACUGACACUGAGGUGCGAAAGCGUGGGGAGCAAACAGGAUUAGAUACCCCCGUAGUCCCUGUCUCUUAUAA
RNAcentral lists this ribosomal RNA (301 nucleotides) under uncultured bacterium. Its description in RNAcentral is "partial 16S ribosomal RNA". It matches the Rfam family "Bacterial small subunit ribosomal RNA", at positions 509 to 809 of the family's 1533-position model. The record is from RNAcentral.